GUAGUACGGAAUAGCCAUUAGAAAUGGUGGGUAAUACUGUAUAAUCCCCGAGGGGGAAAGAUUUAUCGCUAUUAGAUGAGCCUACGUUAGAUUAGCUAGUUGGUGAGGUAAUGGCUUACCAAGGCUAUGAUCUAUAGCUGGUCUGAGAGGACGAUCAGCCACACUGGAACUGAGAUACGGUCCAGACUCCUACGGGAGGCAGCAGUGGGGAAUAUUGGACAAUGGGCGAAAGCCUGAUCCAGCUAUGCCGCGUGAGUGAAGAAGGCCUUCGGGUUGUAAAACUCUUUCAAUAGGGAAGAUAAUGACGGUACCUAUAAAAGAAGUCCCGGCAAACUCUGUGCCAGCAGCCGCGGUAAUACGACAAGUAGAACGAACGCUGGCGGCAAG
This 387-nucleotide ribosomal RNA is filed under the name uncultured Ehrlichia sp. RNAcentral's name for it is "bacterial SSU rRNA". It matches the Rfam family "Bacterial small subunit ribosomal RNA", at positions 133 to 545 of the family's 1533-position model. The record is from RNAcentral. Lineage: Bacteria; Pseudomonadati; Pseudomonadota; Alphaproteobacteria; Rickettsiales; Anaplasmataceae.